GUGGGGAAUUUUGGACAAUGGGCGCAAGCCUGAUCCAGCCAUUCCGCGUGCAGGAUGAAGGCCUUCGGGUUGUAAACUGCUUUUGUACGGAACGAAAAGGUUCUCUCUAAUACAGGGGGCUGAUGACGGUACCGUAAGAAUAAGCACCGGCUAACUACGUGCCAGCAGCCGCGGUAAUACGUAGGGUGCAAGCGUUAAUCGGAAUUACUGGGCGUAAAGCGUGCGCAGGCGGUGAUGUAAGACAGAUGUGAAAUGCCCGGGCUCAACCCGGGAAAUGCAUUUGUGACUGCAUUGCUGGAGUGCGGCAGAGGGGGAUGGAAUUCCGCGUGUAGCAGUGAAAUGCGUAGAUAUGCGGAGGAACACCGAUGGCGAAGGCAAUCCCCUGGGCCUGCACUGACGCUCAUGCACGAAAGCGUGGGGAGCAAACAGGAUUAGAAACCCCAGUAGUCC
RNAcentral lists this ribosomal RNA (450 nucleotides) under uncultured bacterium. Its description in RNAcentral is "partial 16S ribosomal RNA". It matches the Rfam family "Bacterial small subunit ribosomal RNA", at positions 354 to 796 of the family's 1533-position model. The record is from RNAcentral.